GCGCCCGUAGCUCAGGGGAUAGAGCAUCGGCCUUCUAAGCCGAGGGUCGGAGGUUCGAGACCUCCCGGGCGCGCCA
This 76-nucleotide transfer RNA is filed under the name Acidobacteriota bacterium. Its description in RNAcentral is "Acidobacteria bacterium tRNA-Arg". It matches the Rfam family "tRNA". Rfam says of the family: Transfer RNA (tRNA) molecules are approximately 80 nucleotides in length. Their secondary structure includes four short double-helical elements and three loops (D, anti-codon, and T loops). RNAcentral also lists the same sequence under 2 other names. The record is from RNAcentral. Lineage: Bacteria; Pseudomonadati; Acidobacteriota.